This 705-nucleotide long non-coding RNA is filed under the name Pongo abelii (Sumatran orangutan). RNAcentral describes it as "lincRNA". Lineage: Eukaryota; Metazoa; Chordata; Mammalia; Primates; Hominidae. The record is from RNAcentral.
UGACCCUCCAAGUUGGGAGUUUCGAGGACCCCCUGAACUUAGAGCUCCCGGGCCAUCUUUCCCUGAGAAUGAAGCCAACACAGGCAGGAUUGAGCUUAAAGUCUGAAUUGGAUGGUGUCUAGUGACAGCCUCUGAACUCCUGGACCCAACUACACCUGAAGCCACUGUACCCCACAUUUUCUAGGACUUUCCUGUGUGUAUGACUGCAUGGCUAAUAGCACAUCUCCUCGACACUGGUGCGGUUCUCGGAAUCCUAUCUAGAGCUUACAGCUUUCCCAGCCUCCUGGCUCCCUCCCCGUUUCCUCCCACACUGGUGAUCCCCCGAUGAAAUCCUCCUGCCCGUCAUCCUGUCUUGGCAUCUGCCUCGCGAUGACCCUGGGCUCACAGUCUGGCCACUGCAGCUGAGUGUCGCACUGGCUCAGGUGUGGCAACACGGGGGUUGAAAGGCUCUGAACCAGGCACCAGGAGCCCUGGGCCCCAGGCCAGCCCUCCGCAAACCAGCUUUGUGUCCUCGGACAACCCCAGGGACAUCCCAGGUCUUGCUGUCUGGAGAAAGGAGGAAGCUGGCCACACACUCUCCAAGAACGUUCAGCCUCCACACUGCAUGGCCUCUGCUUGGUUUCCAGCUGGGCCCAGGGCUCUGCCUGCAGCAUGGAGCCGCGGUGGUGGGUCCCCAUGCGAGCCCCCGCCACUGUCUGCUGUCAU